CCUACGGGAGGCUGCAGUGGGGAAUAUUGGACAAUGGGGGGAACCCUGAUCCAGCCAUGCCGCGUGUGUGAAGAAGGCCCUCGGGUUGUAAAGCACUUUCAGUGAGGAAGAACGCCUGGUGGUUAAUACCCAUCAGGAAAGACAUCACUCACAGAAGAAGCACCGGCUAACUCCGUGCCAGCAGCCGCGGUAAUACGGAGGGUGCGAGCGUUAAUCGGAAUUACUGGGCGUAAAGCGCGCGUAGGUGGCUUGAUAAGCCGGUUGUGAAAGCCCCGGGCUCAACCUGGGAACGGCAUCCGGAACUGUCAAGCUAGAGUGCAGGAGAGGAAGGUAGAAUUCCCGGUGUGGCGGUGAAAUGCGUAGAGAUCGGGAGGAAUACCAGUGGCGAAGGCGGCCUUCUGGACUGGCACUGACACUGAGGUGCGAAAGCGUGGGUAGCAAACAGGAUUAGAUACCCGUGUAGUC
RNAcentral lists this ribosomal RNA (465 nucleotides) under Vreelandella stevensii. RNAcentral's name for it is "partial 16S ribosomal RNA". It matches the Rfam family "Bacterial small subunit ribosomal RNA", at positions 338 to 795 of the family's 1533-position model. Lineage: Bacteria; Pseudomonadati; Pseudomonadota; Gammaproteobacteria; Oceanospirillales; Halomonadaceae. The record is from RNAcentral.